This 2176-nucleotide ribosomal RNA is filed under the name Pseudomonas aeruginosa. RNAcentral's name for it is "partial 23S ribosomal RNA". It matches the Rfam family "Bacterial large subunit ribosomal RNA", at positions 1 to 2215 of the family's 2925-position model. Lineage: Bacteria; Pseudomonadati; Pseudomonadota; Gammaproteobacteria; Pseudomonadales; Pseudomonadaceae. The record is from RNAcentral.
GGUCAAGUGAAGAAGCGCAUACGGUGGAUGCCUUGGCAGUCAGAGGCGAUGAAAGACGUGGUAGCCUGCGAAAAGCUUCGGGGAGUCGGCAAACAGACUUUGAUCCGGAGAUCUCUGAAUGGGGGAACCCACCUAGGAUAACCUAGGUAUCUUGUACUGAAUCCAUAGGUGCAAGAGGCGAACCAGGGGAACUGAAACAUCUAAGUACCCUGAGGAAAAGAAAUCAACCGAGAUUCCCUUAGUAGUGGCGAGCGAACGGGGAUUAGCCCUUAAGCUUCAUUGAUUUUAGCGGAACGCUCUGGAAAGUGCGGCCAUAGUGGGUGAUAGCCCCGUACGCGAAAGGAUCUUUGAAGUGAAAUCGAGUAGGACGGAGCACGAGAAACUUUGUCUGAACAUGGGGGGACCAUCCUCCAAGGCUAAAUACUACUGACUGACCGAUAGUGAACCAGUACCGUGAGGGAAAGGCGAAAAGAACCCCGGAGAGGGGAGUGAAAUAGAACCUGAAACCGUAUGCGUACAAGCAGUGGGAGCCUACUUGUUAGGUGACUGCGUACCUUUUGUAUAAUGGGUCAGCGACUUAUAUUCAGUGGCAAGCUUAACCGUAUAGGGUAGGCGUAGCGAAAGCGAGUCUUAAUAGGGCGUUUAGUCGCUGGGUAUAGACCCGAAACCGGGCGAUCUAUCCAUGAGCAGGUUGAAGGUUAGGUAACACUGACUGGAGGACCGAACCCACUCCCGUUGAAAAGGUAGGGGAUGACUUGUGGAUCGGAGUGAAAGGCUAAUCAAGCUCGGAGAUAGCUGGUUCUCCUCGAAAGCUAUUUAGGUAGCGCCUCAUGUAUCACUCUGGGGGGUAGAGCACUGUUUCGGCUAGGGGGUCAUCCCGACUUACCAAACCGAUGCAAACUCCGAAUACCCAGAAGUGCCGAGCAUGGGAGACACACGGCGGGUGCUAACGUCCGUCGUGAAAAGGGAAACAACCCAGACCGCCAGCUAAGGUCCCAAAGUUGUGGUUAAGUGGUAAACGAUGUGGGAAGGCUUAGACAGCUAGGAGGUUGGCUUAGAAGCAGCCAUCCUUUAAAGAAAGCGUAAUAGCUCACUAGUCGAGUCGGCCUGCGCGGAAGAUGUAACGGGGCUCAAACCACACACCGAAGCUGCGGGUGUCACGCAAGUGACGCGGUAGAGGAGCGUUCUGUAAGCCUGUGAAGGUGAGUUGAGAAGCUUGCUGGAGGUAUCAGAAGUGCGAAUGCUGACAUGAGUAACGACAAUGGGUGUGAAAAACACCCACGCCGAAAGACCAAGGGUUCCUGCGCAACGUUAAUCGACGCAGGGUUAGUCGGUUCCUAAGGCGAGGCUGAAAAGCGUAGUCGAUGGGAAACAGGUUAAUAUUCCUGUACUUCUGGUUACUGCGAUGGAGGGACGGAGAAGGCUAGGCCAGCUUGGCGUUGGUUGUCCAAGUUUAAGGUGGUAGGCUGAAAUCUUAGGUAAAUCCGGGGUUUCAAGGCCGAGAGCUGAUGACGAGUCGUCUUUUAGAUGACGAAGUGGUUGAUGCCAUGCUUCCAAGAAAAGCUUCUAAGCUUCAGGUAACCAGGAACCGUACCCCAAACCGACACAGGUGGUCGGGUAGAGAAUACCAAGGCGCUUGAGAGAACUCGGGUGAAGGAACUAGGCAAAAUGGCACCGUAACUUCGGGAGAAGGUGCGCCGGCUAGGGUGAAGGAUUUACUCCGUAAGCUCUGGCUGGUCGAAGAUACCAGGCCGCUGCGACUGUUUAUUAAAAACACAGCACUCUGCAAACACGAAAGUGGACGUAUAGGGUGUGACGCCUGCCCGGUGCCGGAAGGUUAAUUGAUGGGGUUAGCGCAAGCGAAGCUCUUGAUCGAAGCCCCGGUAAACGGCGGCCGUAACUAUAACGGUCCUAAGGUAGCGAAAUUCCUUGUCGGGUAAGUUCCGACCUGCACGAAUGGCGUAACGAUGGCGGCGCUGUCUCCACCCGAGACUCAGUGAAAUUGAAAUCGCUGUGAAGAUGCAGUGUAUCCGCGGCUAGACGGAAAGACCCCGUGAACCUUUACUGUAGCUUUGCACUGGACUUUGAGCCUGCUUGUGUAGGAUAGGUGGGAGGCUUUGAAGCGUGGACGCCAGUUCGCGUGGAGCCAUCCUUGAAAUACCACCCUGGCAUGCUU